CCCUUUGGGUGUGACUGCGUACCUUUUGUAUAAUGGGUCAGCGACUUAUAUUCUGUAGCAAGGUUAACCGAAUAGGGGAGCCGGAGGGAAACCGAGUCUUAAUUGGGCGUUAAGUUGCAGGGUAUAGACCCGAAACCCGGUGAUCUAGCCAUGGGCAGGUUGAAGGUUGGGUAACACUAACUGGAGGACCGAACCGACUAAUGUUGAAAAAUUAGCGGAUGACCUGUGGCUGGGGGUGAAAGGCCAAUCAAACCGGGAGAUAGCUGGUUCUCCCCGAAAGCUAUUUAGGUAGCGCCUCGUGAAUUCAUCUCCGGGGGUAGAGCACUGUUUCGGCUAGGGGGCCAUCCCGGCUUACCAACCCGAUGCAAACUGCGAAUACCGGAGAAUGUUAUCACGGGAGACACACGGCGGGUGCUAACGUCCGUCGUGAAGAGGGAAACAACCCAGACCGCCAGCUAAGGUCCCAAAGUCAUGGUUAAGUGGGAAACGAUGUGGGAAGGCCCAGACAGCCAGGAUGUUGGCUUAGAAGCAGCCAUCAUUUAAAGAAAGCGUAAUAGCUCACUGGUCGAGUCGGCCUGCGCGGAAGAUGUAACGGGGCUAAACCAUGCACCGAAGCUGCGGCAGCGACACUGUGUGUUGUUGGGUAGGGGAGCGUUCUGUAAGCCUGUGAAGGUGUGUCGUGAGGCAUGCUGGAGGUAUCAGAAGUGCGAAUGCUGACAUAAGUAACGAUAAAGCGGGUGAAAAGCCCGCUCGCCGGAAGACCAAGGGUUCCUGUCCAACGUUAAUCGGGGCAGGGUGAGUCGACCCCUAAGGCGAGGCCGAAAGGCGUAGUCGAUGGGAAACGGGUUAAUAUUCCCGUACUUGGUGUUACUGCGAAGGGGGGACGGAGAAGGCUAUGUUGGCCGGGCGACGGUUGUCCCGGUUUAAGCGUGUAGGUGUGUGUUCCAGGUAAAUCCGGUUCACUUUAACACUGAGGCGUGACGACGAGGCACUACGGUGCUGAAGCAACAAAUGCCCUGCUUCCAGGAAAAGCCUCUAAGCAUCAGGUAACAUCAAAUCGUACCCCAAACCGACACAGGUGGUCAGGUAGAGAAUACCAAGGCGCUUGAGAGAACUCGGGUGAAGGAACUAGGCAAAAUGGUGCCGUAACUUCGGGAGAAGGCACGCUGACACGUAGGUGAAGUGAUUUACUCAUGGAGCUGAAGUCAGUCGAAGAUACCAGCUGGCUGCAACUGUUUAUUAAAAACACAGCACUGUGCAAACACGAAAGUGGACGUAUACGGUGUGACGCCUGCCCGGUGCCGGAAGGUUAAUUGAUGGGGUCAGCGCAAGCGAAGCUCCUGAUCGAAGCCCCGGUAAACGGCGGCCGUAACUAUAACGGUCCUAAGGUAGCGAAAUUCCUUGUCGGGUAAGUUCCGACCUGCACGAAUGGCGUAAUGAUGGCCAGGCUGUCUCCACCCGAGACUCAGUGAAAUUGAACUCGCUGUGAAGAUGCAGUGUACCCGCGGCAAGACGGAAAGACCCCGUGAACCUUUACUAUAGCUUGACACUGAACAUUGAGCCUUGAUGUGUAGGAUAGGUGGGAGGCUUUGAAGUGUGGACGCCAGUCUGCAUGGAGCCGACCUUGAAAUACCACCCUUUAAUGUUUGAUGUUCUAACGUGGACCCGUUACCCGGGUUGCGGACAGUGUCUGGUGGGUAGUUUGACUGGGGCGGUCUCCUCCUAAAGAGUAACGGAGGAGCACGAAGGUUGGCUAAUCCUGGUCGGACAUCAGGAGGUUAGUGCAAUGGCAUAAGCCAGCUUGACUGCGAGCGUGACGGCGCGAGCAGGUGCGAAAGCAGGUCAUAGUGAUCCGGUGGUUCUGAAUGGAAGGGCCAUCGCUCAACGGAUAAAAGGUACUCCGGGGAUAACAGGCUGAUACCGCCCAAGAGUUCAUAUCGACGGCGGUGUUUGGCACCUCGAUGUCGGCUCAUCACAUCCUGGGGCUGAAGUAGGUCCCAAGGGUAUGGCUGUUCGCCAUUUAAAGUGGUACGCGAGCUGGGUUUAGAACGUCGUGAGACAGUUCGGUCCCUAUCUGCCGUGGGCGCUGGAGAACUGAGGGGGGCUGCUCCUAGUACGAGAGGACCGGAGUGGACGCAUCACUGGUGUUCGGGUUGUCAUGCCAAUGGCACUGCCCGGUAGCUAAAUUCGGAAGAGAUAAGUGCUGAAAGCAUCUAAGCACGAAACUUGCCCCGAGAUGAGUUCU
RNAcentral lists this ribosomal RNA (2245 nucleotides) under Salmonella enterica subsp. enterica serovar Enteritidis. RNAcentral describes it as "partial 23S ribosomal RNA". It matches the Rfam family "Bacterial large subunit ribosomal RNA", at positions 582 to 2812 of the family's 2925-position model. The record is from RNAcentral. Lineage: Bacteria; Pseudomonadati; Pseudomonadota; Gammaproteobacteria; Enterobacterales; Enterobacteriaceae.